Molecule: ribosomal RNA, 299 nt
Filed under: uncultured eukaryote
Lineage: Eukaryota
Description: partial 18S ribosomal RNA
Rfam family: Eukaryotic small subunit ribosomal RNA
Source: RNAcentral
CCCUUAGAUGUUCUGGGCUGCACGCGUGCUACAAUGAUACAUACAUACAGUAAUCCUAUACAGACAUGUAGUGGUAAUCUUUAAUAUGUAUCGUACUAGAGAUAGACUAUUGUAAUUAUUGGUCUUGAACCAGGAAUUCCUAGUAAGCGUAAGUCACCAACUUACGCUGAUUACGUCCCUGCCCUUUGUACACACCGCCCGUCGCUUCUACCGAUUGAGUGUUCCGGUGAAUUAUUCUGAUCACUUCAUGUGAAAAGUUUUGUAAACCUUAACACUUAGAGGAAGGAGAAGUCGUAACA